GGGAAUUGGCGGUUAACGACAUGCUCACUUUACUUGGACGUUUUCUAAUCGUCUUCUUUGGAAUAUGCUUUCAAGGUCUGUGAAGCCAAACUUGAUGCUGGGGAUUUAUUUUUGUCAGUGGAGUCAAAUGGUCUAGAUGAUCACAUCUGACUUUGUCAUUUAAAUGAGGUGGACUUGCAAACUUUGCACUCUUUUGGAUUUCAAGACAGAGCUUAUUGUUCUCUGAACUUCCUUGUUUGCUGAACGGCAGGUUGAAGCAGAAUUUGCCCGUCUUACAUCUGUUGACCUGAAAGGGUUCCUUUUUGCUGUGCUUGACCAUUAUGGAGAGGUUCGUGGAGCUGUACAAAAUCAAGAGCGGCAUAGGAGGGCUAACUAGGCUCAUAAGAUGCUUCGGAGAUGAUAGCCCUACACAAAGGAAGAGGACAGAGGACCUCAUUUUCUAAAGGAAGAUCCCUCACACACUUUCAAGACUGUGAAGCCGACAGGUAUUGAAGACACGUUUUCUAAGAGGAUGAAAGUUGGCAUUGCGAUGGUGAAAGAAGAAGACAUCAUCGAUGUGUUGGUUGUCCUUGAGGCGGCAGUAAUCCUGUCUAAUCUGAGGGAUGUCUCAG
Molecule: long non-coding RNA, 611 nt
Organism: Oreochromis aureus
Lineage: Eukaryota; Metazoa; Chordata; Actinopteri; Cichliformes; Cichlidae
Source: Ensembl